RNAcentral lists this long non-coding RNA (250 nucleotides) under Linum usitatissimum (flax). RNAcentral describes it as "long non-coding RNA (LUSI_LNC000553)". Lineage: Eukaryota; Viridiplantae; Streptophyta; Magnoliopsida; Malpighiales; Linaceae. The record is from RNAcentral.
CACACACUCUCUCUCCUCUCUUCUCUCUUCUCCAUUAUCUCUGCCUUCUCUCUAACACUCCUCCAAUCUUCUCUCCUUCUUACUCUCCACUGUUGCCGCCUCCGCCGCCGUCGCUACUAUUCCCUUUCCUUUUUACUUUUUUUUCUCUUCUCAGACGCCUCUUCCCCUCCACCAUUUUAGUUUCCAGCGACGACGGCCGCUGCCGCUGCCUAUUCUCACCUCUCCUCUCCCGGUCACCACCACGAAAAGA